UCCUCGGUAGCUCAGCGGCAGAGCGGUCGGCUGUUAACCGAUUGGUCGUAGGUUCGAAUCCUACCCGAGGAG
Molecule: transfer RNA, 72 nt
Filed under: Bolbitis laxireticulata
Lineage: Eukaryota; Viridiplantae; Streptophyta; Polypodiopsida; Polypodiales; Dryopteridaceae
Description: tRNA-Asn
Rfam family: tRNA
About the family: Transfer RNA (tRNA) molecules are approximately 80 nucleotides in length.
Source: RNAcentral